This 1439-nucleotide ribosomal RNA is filed under the name uncultured bacterium. RNAcentral's name for it is "bacterial SSU rRNA". It matches the Rfam family "Bacterial small subunit ribosomal RNA". The record is from RNAcentral.
AGAGUUUGAUCAUGGCUCAGAACGUACGCUGGCGGCACGCCUAACACAUGUAAGACGAACGAAGUAGCAAUACUUAGUGGCAGACGGGUGAGUAACAUGUAGGUAUCUGCCCUUUGGCCUGGAAUAACACGAGGAAACUUGUGCUAAUACCGGAUAAGUCUUUACGGAGAAAGCUUUAUGCACCAUUGGAUGAGCCUGCACUUGAUUAGUUUGUUGGUGGGGUAAUGGCCUACCAAGACUGUGAUCAAUAGCUGAUUUGAGAGGAUGAUCAGCCACAUUGGGACUGAGACACGGCCCAAACUCCUACGGGAGGCAGCAGUGGGGAAUCUUGCACAAUGGAGGAAACUCUGAUGCAGCGAUGCCGCGUGAGUGAAGAAGGCCCUUGGGUUGUAAAGCUCUUUCGUCGGGGAAGAAAAUGACUGUACCCGAAUAAGAAGGUCCGGCUAACUUCGUGCCAGCAGCCGCGGUAAUACGAAGGGACCUAGCGUAGUUCGGAAUUACUGGGCUUAAAGAGUUCGUAGGUGGUUGAAAAAGUUGGUGGUGAAAUCCCAGAGCUUAACUCUGGAACUGCCAUCAAAACUUUUCAGCUAGAGUUUGAUAGAGGAAAGCAGAAUUUCUAGUGUAGAGGUGAAAUUCGUAGAUAUUAGAAARGGAUACCGAUUGCGAAGGCAGCUUUCUGGAUCAUUACUGACACUGAGGAACGAAAGCAUGGGUAGCGAAGAGGAUUAGAUACCCUCGUAGUCCAUGCCGUAAACGAUGUGUGUUAGACGUUGGAAAUUUAUUUUCAGUGUCGCAGCGAAAGCGAUAAACACACCGCCUGGGGAGUACGACCGCAAGGUUAAAACUCAAAUGAAUUGACGGGGACCCGCACAAGUAGUGGAGCAUGUGGUUUAAUUCGAAGAUACGCGCAGAACCUUACCAACACUUGACAUGUUCGUCGCGACUUUAAGAGAUUAAAGUUUUCGGUUCGGCCGGACGAAACACAGGUGCUGCAUGGCUGUCGUCAGCUCGUGUCGUGAGAUGUUGGGUUAAGUCCCGCAACGAGCGCAACCCUCACUUUUAGUUGCCAUCAUUAAGUUGGGCACUCUGAAAGAACUGCCAGUGAUAAGCUGGAGGAAGGUGGGGAUGACGUCAAGUCCUCAUGGCCCUUACGUGUUGGGCUACACACGUGCUACAAUGGUACUUACAACAGGAAGCAAAACGGCGACGUUAAGCAAAUCCUCAAAAAGUACCUCAGUUCGGAUUGCACUCUGCAACUCGAGUGCAUGAAGCUGGAAUUACUAGUAAUCGUGGAUCAGCGUGCCACGGUGAAUGCGUUCCCGGGUCUUGUACACACCGCCCGUCACACCAUGGGAGUUGGUUCUACCUUAAGGCAAGGUUUCAAACCCUUGACCACGGUAUAGUCAGCGUCUUGGUGAAGUCGUAACAAGGUAGCCGUA